GUUGCAUGGCUGUCGUCAGCUCGUGUCGUGAGAUGUUCGGUUAAGUCCGCUAGCGAGCGCAACCCUCGUCGUAUGUUAUAUGUGUCAUACGAGACUGCCGGUAAAAAGCCGGAGGAAGGUGAGGAUGAUGUCAAGUCAGCAUGACCUUUAUAUCCAGGGCUACACACACGCUACAAUGGUCUGUACAAUGGGUAGCCAAGCCGCGAGGCGGAGCCAAUCCUGAAAGCAGGCCUCAGUUCAGAUUGCAGUCUGCAACUCGACUGCAUGAAGCCGGAGUUGCUAGUAACCGCAGGUCAGCAAUACUGCGGUGAAUACGUUCCCGGGUCUU
Molecule: ribosomal RNA, 328 nt
Filed under: uncultured Anaerolineaceae bacterium
Lineage: Bacteria; Bacillati; Chloroflexota; Anaerolineae; Anaerolineales; Anaerolineaceae
Description: bacterial SSU rRNA
Rfam family: Bacterial small subunit ribosomal RNA
Source: RNAcentral